Molecule: long non-coding RNA, 704 nt
Filed under: Pan troglodytes (chimpanzee)
Lineage: Eukaryota; Metazoa; Chordata; Mammalia; Primates; Hominidae
Description: lincRNA
Source: RNAcentral
AACCUUUGCUGUCUUGGAACAGAUCACCACUGCAAGAGGGGAAGUUGCUACUGUGAUGAAUUCUGCCAUGUGGUACCAGACUGCUACCCAGACCACAGUGUCCUCUGCAACCCUCCUUCUCAGAUGACCAAGAUGGUGCUGCAGAUGGUGCUGAGGAUGGAGAACCCACCAAGCCCCGCUAGGAGCCACCUAGACUGGAUGUAGAGCAUGGUGAAAAUGGAGGUUUCCUCCUCCUGCGGCUGAGUGUGGCUUCCCUGGAAGACCUCACUGACCCCAGAGUGGCAGAAAGGCUGAUGCAGCAGCUCCACCGGGAACUCCACGCCCACGCGCCUCACUUCCAGGUCUCCUUACUGCGUGUCAGGAGAGGCUAAUGGACAUCAGCUGCAGCCAGGCAUGUCCCGUAUGCCAAAAGAGGGUGCUGCCCCUAGCCUGGGCCCCCACCGACAGACUGCAGCUGCGUUACUGUGCUGAGAGGUACCCAGAAGGUUCCCAUGAAGGGCAGCAGGUCCAAGCCCCUGACCCCAGAUGUGGCAACAGGACCCUCGCUCACAUCCACCGGAGUGUAUGUGUGGGGAGGGGCUUCACCUGUUCCCAGAGGUGUCCUUGGACUCACCUUGGCACAUGUUCUGUGUUUCAGUAAAGAGAGACCUGAUCACCCAUCUGUGUGCUUCCAUCCUGCAUUAAAAUUCAUUCAGUGUGGCCCA